RNAcentral lists this ribosomal RNA (497 nucleotides) under uncultured bacterium. RNAcentral's name for it is "partial 16S ribosomal RNA". It matches the Rfam family "Bacterial small subunit ribosomal RNA", at positions 28 to 507 of the family's 1533-position model. The record is from RNAcentral.
GAUGAACGCUGGCGGCGUGCCUAAUACAUGCAAGUCGAGCGAACAGACGAGGAGCUUGCUCCUCUGACGUUAGCGGCGGACGGGUGAGUAACACGUGGAUAACCUACCUAUAAGACUGGGAUAACUUCGGGAAACCGGAGCUAAUACCGGAUAAUAUAUUGAACCGCAUGGUCCAAUAGUGAAAGACGGUUUUGCUGUCACUUAUAGAUGGAUCCGCGCCGCAUUAGCUAGUUGGUAAGGUAACGGCUUACCAAGGCAACGAUGCGUAACCGACCUGAGAGGGUGAUCGGCCACACUGGAACUGAGACACGGUCCAGACUCCUACGGGAGGCAGCAGUAGGGAAUCUUCCGCAAUGGGCGAAAGCCUGACGGAGCAACGCCGCGUGAGUGAUGAAGGUCUUCGGAUCGUAAAACUCUGUUAUUAGGGAAGAACAAAUGUGUAAGUAACUAUGCACGUCUUGACGGUACCUAAUCAGAAAGCCACGGCUAACUACGUG